Molecule: ribosomal RNA, 391 nt
Filed under: Bacillus thuringiensis
Lineage: Bacteria; Bacillati; Bacillota; Bacilli; Caryophanales; Bacillaceae
Description: partial 23S ribosomal RNA
Rfam family: Bacterial large subunit ribosomal RNA
Source: RNAcentral
CGUGCCUUUUGUAGAAUGAACCGGCGAGUUACGUUAUCUAGCGAGGUUAAGUCAGAAAAGACGGAGCCGGAGCGAAAGCGAGUCUGAAUAGGGCGAAGAGUUAGGUGACGUAGACCCGAAACCAAGUGACCUACCCAUGGCCAGGCUGAAGGUGUGGUAAAACGCACUGGAGGGCCGAACCCACGUAAGUUAAAAAUUGCGGGGAUGAGCUGUGGGUAGCGGUGAAAUUCCAAACGAACUUGGAGAUAGCUGGUUCUCUCCGAAAUAGCUUUAGGGCUAGCCUCGUGGAGAGGAUAAUGGAGGUAGAGCUCUGUUUGGACUAGGGGCCCGUCAGGGGUUACUGAAUCCAGAUAAACUGCGAAUUCCAUAUAUCCAUACACGGGAGUCAGAC